Molecule: ribosomal RNA, 253 nt
Filed under: uncultured organism
Description: partial 16S ribosomal RNA
Rfam family: Bacterial small subunit ribosomal RNA
Source: RNAcentral
UACGUAGGGUGCGAGCGUUAAUCGGAAUUACUGGGCGUAAAGCGUGCGUAGGCGGUUUCGCAAGUCAGAUGUGAAAUCCCCGGGCUUAACCUGGGAACUGCGUUUGAAACUACGGAGCUAGAGUGUGGCAGAGGGGGGUGGAAUUCCACGUGUAGCAGUGAAAUGCGUAGAUAUGUGGAGGAACACCGAUGGCGAAGGCAGCCCCCUGGGCCGACACUGACGCUCAUGCACGAAAGCAUGGGGAGCGAACAGG